Non-coding RNA from Pelobates cultripes (western spadefoot toad), 269 nucleotides. Lineage: Eukaryota; Metazoa; Chordata; Amphibia; Anura; Pelobatidae. The record is from the annotation of a GenBank genome assembly.
CUCCUCCCCAGACCUCUCCCCUGCUGUCCUGCAACGUGUCACUGCUUGCCUUUCUUCCAUCUCUGACUGGAUGUCCUCCCGCUUUCUGAAACUCAAUCUCUCAAAAACUGAGCUCCUUGUCUUUCCUCCUCUUAAUACUGAUCCUCCUCUUUCGCUCUCCCUUCAAGUUUGUGGUACCAACAUCAGCCCAUCCUUGCAAGCGCGCUGUCUUGGCGUCAUACUUGACUCUGGUCUCACCUUUGAGCCUCACAUCCAGCAUGUUGCCAAAU